Molecule: ribosomal RNA, 305 nt
Filed under: uncultured bacterium
Lineage: Bacteria
Description: partial 16S ribosomal RNA
Rfam family: Bacterial small subunit ribosomal RNA
Source: RNAcentral
ACAGCAGUCGCCACGGUAAUACGUAGGUGGCAAGUGUUGUCCGGAAUUAUUGGGCGUAAAGGGCUCGCAGGCGGUUUCUUAAGUCUGAUGUGAAAGCCCCCGGCUCAACCGGGGAGGGUCAUUGGAAACUGGGAAACUAGAGUGCAGAAGAGGAGAGUGGAAUUCCACGUGUAGCGGUGAAAUGCGUAGAGAUGUGGAGGAACACCAGUGGCGAAGGCGGCUCUCUGGUCUGUAACUGACGCUGAGGAGCGAAAGCGUGGGGAGCGAACAGGAUUAGAUACCCCCGUAGUCCCUGUCUCUUAUAC